GGAAUUAACGCUGGCGGCGUGCCUAACACAUGCAAGUCGAACGCGAAAGUCCCGCAAGGGGCAAGUAGAGUGGCAAACGGGUGAGUAACACGUGGGUGACCUGCCUUCGAGUGGGGGAUAACGUCCCGAAAGGGACGCUAAUACCGCAUGACAUCCUGCCUUUGAAUAGGCGGAGAUCAAAGCUAGGGAUCGUAAGACCUGGCGCUUGAAGAGGGGCCCGCGCCUGAUUAGCUAGUUGGUGAGGUAACGGCUCACCAAGGCAACGAUCAGUA
RNAcentral lists this ribosomal RNA (272 nucleotides) under uncultured soil bacterium. RNAcentral describes it as "partial 16S ribosomal RNA". It matches the Rfam family "Bacterial small subunit ribosomal RNA", at positions 27 to 285 of the family's 1533-position model. The record is from RNAcentral.